CGGAGGGUAUUCGGGGAGGACAGGUGGUGCAUGGUUGUCGUCAGCUCGUGUCGUGAGAUGUGGGUUAAGUCCCGCAACGAGCGCAACCCUACUUGCUAGUUACCAUCAUUAAGUUUGGGGACUCUAGCGAGACUGCCAGUGAUAAACUGGAGGAAGGUGGGGAUGACGUCAAAUCAUCAUGCCCCUUAUGACCUGGGCUACAAACGUGAUACAAUGGCUGGAACAAAGGGAUGCGAAGCAGUGAUGUGGAGCGAAACCCAUAAAAACAGUCUCAGUUCGGAUUGAAGUCUGCAACUCGACUUCAUGAAGUCGGAAUCGCUAGUAAUCGCGGAUCAGAACGCCGCGGUGAAUACGUUCUCGGGGUUU
Molecule: ribosomal RNA, 366 nt
Filed under: uncultured Acholeplasma sp.
Lineage: Bacteria; Bacillati; Mycoplasmatota; Mollicutes; Acholeplasmatales; Acholeplasmataceae
Description: bacterial SSU rRNA
Rfam family: Bacterial small subunit ribosomal RNA
Source: RNAcentral